AUACGAAAGGUGCAAGCGUUGUUCGGAUUUACUGGGCGUAAAGAGAGUGUAGGUUGUUUAUUAAGUCGGAUGUGAAAUCCCGGGGCUCAACCUCGGAACUGCAUUCGAUACUGGUAGACUAGAGUUCGGGAGGGGUAAGCGGAAUUCCGUGUGUAGCAGCGAAAUGCGUAGAUAUACGGAGGAACACCUGAGGCGAAGGCGGCUUACUGGACCGAUACUGACACUGAGACUCGAAAGCGUGGGUAGCAAACAGGAUUAGAAACCCCGGUAGUCC
Molecule: ribosomal RNA, 274 nt
Filed under: uncultured bacterium
Lineage: Bacteria
Description: partial 16S ribosomal RNA
Rfam family: Bacterial small subunit ribosomal RNA
Source: RNAcentral